GGACUCUUUGGAUUUUGAGCCUCAGGUUAUAACCUAUAAGAUCCCGAAGCCCCCUGGCCUAGCACGCCCGUGACUGCAGAAUGGAGGCCGGGCUGCUAUGGUUCUGCAACUGGAGCACGCUGGGCGUGUGCGCCGCACUCAAACUGCCGCAGAUCUACGCGCAGCUGGCGGCGCGCAGCGCACGAGGGAUCAGCCUCCCUAGUUUACUUUUGGAGCUGGCCGGGUUCCUGGUCUUCCUUCGUUAUCAACAUUACUAUGGGAACCCACUGCUCACCUACCUGGAAUACCCCAUUCUCAUCGUACAAGGUAACUUGUUCUCUAGCUCCCCAGCCUUCCCACCUGCUACCCUGCCCACCUCACAGAGCCUCUUCUUUCAGACAUUGUCCUCCUGCUCUUCGUCUUUCAUUUCAAUGGGAACGUGAAGCAAGCCUUGCCGUACAUGGCUGUAUUUGUGUCUUCUUGGUUCAUCCUCAGCCUGCAGAAAUGGAUCAUCGACUUGGCCAUGAACUUAUGCACAGUCAUUAGUGCAGCCAGUAAGUUUGCCCAGCUCCAGUAUUUGUGGAAGGCACAAGAUUCGGGAGCUGUGAGUGCACUGACAUGGGGCCUCUCCGCCUACACCUGUGCAA
RNAcentral lists this long non-coding RNA (626 nucleotides) under Rattus norvegicus (Norway rat). Its description in RNAcentral is "long non-coding RNA NONRATT024931". The record is from RNAcentral. Lineage: Eukaryota; Metazoa; Chordata; Mammalia; Rodentia; Muridae.